UGGGGAAUAUUGCACAAUGGAGGGAACUCUGAUGCAGCGACGCCGCGUGAACGAAGAAGGCUUUCGAGUCGUAAAGUUCUUUUAUAUGGGAAGAUAAUGACGGUACCAUAAGAAAAAGCCCCGGCUAACUACGUUCCAGCAGCCGCGGUAAUACGUAGGGGGCUAGCGUUGUCCGGAAUCACUGGGCGUAAAGGGUUCGCAGGCGGAAAUGCAAGUCAGGUGUAAAAGGCAGUAGCUUAACUACUGUAAGCAUUUGAAACUGCAGAUCUUGAGAAGAGGAGAGGUAAGUGGAAUUUUUAGUGUAGCGGUGAAAUGCGUAGAGAUUAAAAAGAAUACCGGUGGCGAAGGCGACUUACUGGGCUCAUUCUGACGCUGAGGAACGAAAGCGUGGGUAGCAAACAGG
This 403-nucleotide ribosomal RNA is filed under the name Fusobacteriota bacterium. RNAcentral describes it as "Fusobacteria bacterium partial 16S ribosomal RNA". It matches the Rfam family "Bacterial small subunit ribosomal RNA", at positions 355 to 776 of the family's 1533-position model. Lineage: Bacteria; Fusobacteriati; Fusobacteriota. The record is from RNAcentral.